UGUUGCUAAGAUGUGUCCAAAAGAGUAUGG
Molecule: non-coding RNA, 30 nt
Filed under: Mus musculus (house mouse)
Lineage: Eukaryota; Metazoa; Chordata; Mammalia; Rodentia; Muridae
Source: RNAcentral